Molecule: ribosomal RNA, 452 nt
Filed under: [Candida] sp.
Lineage: Eukaryota; Fungi; Ascomycota; Saccharomycetes; Saccharomycetales
Description: eukaryotic LSU rRNA
Rfam family: 5.8S ribosomal RNA (bases 101-254)
Source: RNAcentral
GAGGAUCACUAUUGUUUGCUGUAAAGCGAUACCCGUGCGUAUAUACCUUUUAUACCAUUGAAACACCAUAAUCUAUAUCAACAACUUUAACUAAUAUCAAAAUUUUUAACAACGGAUCUCUUGGUUCUCGCAACGAUGAAGAACGCAGCGAAUUGCGAUAAGUAUUGUGAAUUGCAGAUUUUCGUGAAUCAUCGAAUCUUUGAACGCACAUUGCGCUCUCUGGUAUUCCGGAGAGCAUGCCUGUUUGAGCGUCAUUUCCUUCUUAAGCUGUAAAGUUUAGUGUUGGGGUGUGCAAGCGCAGCUUUGUGCUGAUGCUGCAGCCCUAAAAUAGUGACGGCUGAUAGAAGAGCUGUGUUUGAUGUCUAGGAAUAUUCAUUGAGCUGCCUCUUCUCUACGCUGCAACAACACCAAAGAUUGACCUCAAAUCAGGUAGGACUACCCGCUGAACUUAA